CACGUAGUUAGCCGUGGCUUAUUCAAGAGGUGCCGUCUUCUGCUCUUCCCUCUUAAAAGAAGUUUACAACCCGAAAGCCUUCUUCCUUCACGCGGCGUUGCUGGGUCAGGCUUGCGCCCAUUGCCCAAUAUUCCCCACUGCUGCCUCCCGUAGGAGUCUGGGCCGUAUCUCAGUCCCAAUGUGGCCGGUCAACCUCUCAGUCCGGCUACUGAUCGUCGCCUAGGUGGGCCGUUACCCCGCCUACUAGCUAAUCAGACGCGAGGCCAUCUUCCAGCGAUAAAUCUUUGACAUUCAAACCAUGCGAUUCAAUGUGUCAUGCGGUAUUAGCAGUCGUUUCCAACUGUUGUCCCCCUCUGGAAGGCAGGUUCCUCACGCGUUACUCACCAGUCCGCCACUAAGCAUUCCUCUCCAUUGUCCGAAAACUCUUUCAAGGGUGCUCCGUUCGACUUGCAUGUGUUAGCACGCCGCAGCGUCUCCUGACGCGAGAGCAACUCU
Molecule: ribosomal RNA, 495 nt
Filed under: uncultured Oscillibacter sp.
Lineage: Bacteria; Bacillati; Bacillota; Clostridia; Eubacteriales; Oscillospiraceae
Description: partial 16S ribosomal RNA
Source: RNAcentral